Non-coding RNA from Phrynosoma platyrhinos (Desert horned lizard), 72 nucleotides. The record is from the annotation of a GenBank genome assembly. NCBI's taxonomy places the organism in Eukaryota, Metazoa, Chordata, Lepidosauria, Squamata, Phrynosomatidae.
GCCAGCGUGGGACAGUGGUUUGACCACUGGACUAUGACUCUGGAGACCAGGGUUCAAAUCCUGGUUCAACCA